GUUUAGCAACAAAUAAAUAUCUGUUGGUGAUCCAUUGCAAUAUACAGACAGGUUACCGACUGAAAUCAACAAAAAUCCAUUCCGUGGAUAUUCCGUUGGUGAAAUCACGAUUUUUUAGACAAUAUUAGGGGUACUUUGGUAAAUAUACAUUUGAUAAGGGUGCUCGCCAGACUUUCACAAAAGUAAACUUGCGAUUUCCUUUCGAACGACGGGCAAAAUCUAUUGAUAAGCAUCACUGCCACUCCGGCUAUCUUGCCGACGCCACAACACUCGAAGCUUUCGGACUGAAAGGUGCCGGUGCUGCAACUUCUCAACCUCAUCCUUGCAGCCGAUUUGAGCUUUUUUUUUCUCCAUUUUUGGAGUAAAAGGGAAAACUCAAGUUUUUAUGUGUAUCAAAUGACAAUAUUGAUAAAUUUAUGAUUUGGUUAAUUGGUCUGAAGAAUAUAUUUUCAAGGCAACUACCUAACAUGUCUAAGGAAUACAUUGUUAGUCUUGUGAUGGAUAAAGGCCACAAAUCUAUAAUGGUUAUCAGGCAAAAUACAAUUGGUGCCAUUACCUUGCUACUACGUGUUAAAAAAGUACAUUGCCUAUGUUGGUAAAAAACUAAAGUAUUUUGCUACUUCAAGCUAGUGUGAGUAUAAUGCUCAAUAAAACUCCCUUAAUUUUAAUAUUUUAUACUCAUUAGCAGAUUUUUACUAAUUUCAAAUGUUCAAUUUUAUAAUUUUGUUAUUUUUGCAGGAACUCGUUGCUAAUCCUAAAUGCUUAUUGCCUGUAAUGAUAUGAUAUGUAUUGUAACCUUUUAGUUUUCGUUGGAAUCAUUCAAAUGAAUAUUUGUGGGUUUUUUGUUACCAUCAUAUAUAAAAUUGAUCAAGUUAUGUGGACCAGGUACCACCUGAUGCACAGUUGAACUGUUGUUUACCCUAGCUCGAGGCUUCUCUAUUUGUAUCUAUAAACUUCUUCCUUCUUAUAAGAUGAUUUUUUUUCUUGUUGAAAGAACAACAAAAGAGAUAACUUAUUUUUACCCUUUUUUACUUAAAUUUUUUGUUCUUCAGUUAAUGACAGAGGACUUGCUGCAAGAUCUUGUGCUGUAUAAGAAAUUACAAGAGAAGCCAGUUUCAUCUACACCUCGUUCACUUAUUUCAUUGUUUAGAGAGAUUGCAUGCCGACUCAUGGGAAUACAUGGACACAUGGCUCGAUGCAAGUUAAAAUUCAAGCAAUAUUCACACGUGGUAAAACCGGUGUUCUAGCCGAGAUAAUAACAUGAUAGAAUUCUGUUCCUAUUUCACUUGAUAUUCUUUAAUUUUUUCGCCUUUUUCUUUUUAUAAAAAUUCAAUCAUUAUAACCUGUUGGAGAAAAGGAAAGGGAAAACGAGGAAAUUUGCCGACUUUGAUGGAUAACUUGAUGGGGAAAAUUAAACUCUUAGGGCUCUUAAGAGACUAUCAGGAGCUAAAUUGGAGAGUGAGGCAAGUAGGCAACAACAUAUAUUCUCUCAUGUGGUGAUUUUCAAAGAAUCAAAGAGCUAAAAGAAGCAUGUUUAAAAAGUGUUAUGAUCCAAAAUCAACAACAAUCUUUAAGGUCCCAACUUUUGAUCAAUUCAUAACCAAAAGCAGUUGUAACUUCGGCUUUAUACUCCAACAGGAAGGCUUUGAUCAAAGCAGGGAGAGAAGAUUGGAAAAGGCUUUGAUUAUUCUGACCCUCACUUUCUGGUCAAGGCCUGUGAAUCUACCAGAUCAGCAGAUCCUAGAUAAUGCGUAUGAAGUAUUUCAGGGAGGUAAUGUUCCCAUCUGCAUAAGCUACUCAGUGUGUAAUCAAGUUCACAGGUUUUGUAACUUUAUUUAUCACUAUUUUUUUACAGUCUACACUGAUACUUUUAUGGAGCAGAAUUAAUUUAUUUUAGUUUAGUACUUUUUGGAGCAAAUUUGAUGCGAUUGUUUCAAUUUUUUUCGGUUCUUUAUGUUGGAGAUCAUUGAUUUGUUUAUUAUAGCAUCCUACUUUUCAAACCUUAGUUUUCUUAAUGAAUUAGAAAUUGAGCAUACACUACAAUAAUUGGGUGGAGUUUUUAACAAUGAUGUAAUAGAAUGAAAUGUAAGUAAGAUGCAAUAAUAUACAAACAAUGAAAGUACGUUGCUAUUUCUUGUACUUCUCCCAGUUUUUCUUUCAUGGUCUUGUAAUAUUCAAAGAUAAUUUUAUUAAGUCUAAUUUUAUAAUCAUAUCAAUAUCAUAUUCUGUUUUGUGCACCAUCUUAUAUUGCUGACGAAUGAAUGAGAUCAAAUUGAAGAUCAAAUCCAUCAUUCAAAAUGCUCCAUCCAGGUGUGAGUGUAUAGAAGUUCAUGAAAUGAAAAAGAUGUCAAAGCUUAGCAGUGGGUGGCGGGAGAAAGAAGAUGGCUACAUUGUGCUGGUGACGUUUUAUGGGUUUUGUUAUUAUGUAUAAAUUUGUAGAUUAUAUUUUUGGGUUUUGUUAUUAUGUAUAAAUUUUUAAAUUAUAAUUUUACCAGUCGAUAUGUAUUUGAUAUUUAUGGUUAUAAUGUAUUCAAACUUUUUACUUUUA
Non-coding RNA from Lactuca sativa (garden lettuce), 2548 nucleotides. The record is from RefSeq and is a predicted model, not a curated record. NCBI's taxonomy places the organism in Eukaryota, Viridiplantae, Streptophyta, Magnoliopsida, Asterales, Asteraceae.